UACGGAGGGUGCGAGCGUUAAUCGGAAUUACUGGGCGUAAAGCGCGCGUAGGCGGCUUGAUAAGCCGGUUGUGAAAGCCCCGGGCUCAACCUGGGAACGGCAUCCGGAACUGUCAGGCUAGAGUGCAGGAGAGGAAGGUAGAAUUCCCGGUGUAGCGGUGAAAUGCGCAGAUAUCAGGAGGAACACCGAUGGCGAAGGCAGGUCUCUGGGCUGUUACUGACGCUGAGGGACGAAAGCGUAGGUAGCGAACAGG
RNAcentral lists this unclassified non-coding RNA (253 nucleotides) under uncultured Halomonadaceae bacterium. RNAcentral's name for it is "contains 16S-23S intergenic spacer region". It matches the Rfam family "Bacterial small subunit ribosomal RNA", at positions 524 to 776 of the family's 1533-position model. Lineage: Bacteria; Pseudomonadati; Pseudomonadota; Gammaproteobacteria; Oceanospirillales; Halomonadaceae. The record is from RNAcentral.